CCGAGUUUACAACUCCCAAACCCCUGUGAACUUAUACCUCUACUGUUGCUUCGGCGGGUUAUUGCCCCGGGGAAACAGGCGGCCGUCAGGUCCCUGCCCACCCGGAAACAGGCGCCUGCCGGGGGAAUCAAACUCUUCUGUAUUUUUUACUUUUACUGUUAUACUGUCUGAGUACAAAACUAUAAAUGAAUCA
Molecule: unclassified non-coding RNA, 193 nt
Filed under: uncultured Guignardia
Lineage: Eukaryota; Fungi; Ascomycota; Dothideomycetes; Botryosphaeriales; Botryosphaeriaceae
Description: sequence contains ITS1
Source: RNAcentral